UUAUCUGUACGUUCAAAACAAACAUUGCAAUAUUGAUCAAAAAAUUGUUGACUAAUGUUAUUUUAUAUUUUUUUAAGAGUAAAACACAUGUACACAAAUAUUUCCUUUUACUAAUUAUGAGAUUUUCAGGUAGCGUGUGGAGAUUUCAUCUUAUGUUCAUGAGCGCACAACGUAUAAAAUAUAAAAUCAUAAGAAAUGUUUUCUGGUGGUGUGUAGCAGUUAACCGCAUUUAAGUAAAAAUAUUUUAAAAUGAUUGUUACCAGAGCUGAAUUACAUUGAGGUGAGUGCACUUAAUAUAAUUUGGGGUAUUGCAGGAAAAAUUAUAAAUUCCUAAAGUGUUUUUUACUUCCUGACAUGUUUAAAAUUAUUAUUCUCUAUGAGGGUUGUUUGAUACUGCAAGUAGUUUAUCAUGUUUAACAUGUGGAUAGGUUAGGAUUAUUUAUUACAAAUCUGUAAUAUUGAGAUACUGCCCUUGGGUUAGCUGGAUUAAAAAUACAGUGAAAUUUGUUAGGUUAGUAACAUUAUACGUACAGUGAUUCUAAGUACAGUGGAAUUUACAUUUGGUUAGCUUGGGAUAGCACCAAUUAAAAAUUCUGUAAAAUCAAUUGAACGGUUGGAUGUUACUAACCUAAUCUAACCAACCAAUAUACAUUUUACAGUGAUUUUUUAGGUUAUUAUCUCACGUUGCUGCUUUUUGUAUGCAAAAUAAACUUUGGACACUUUUUUUUUAACUUUAAAUAUGUACCUGUAUUUACUCUGAAAAAAGUUUUUUCUAAAUUCAGACUGGUUUUUGAGAAAUCACUGUUUAUAGGUUACAUUACAUUACCUGUGCAGUAAAGGGCCUGUCACCAUGUUGUUCUUUAAUUGAGUUGCAGAUCUUGUUGUUUUUCAUACACAAAUUGUCUAUUUUUUAUUUGGAUAUUGCAAUGCAGUAACAUAAAUUAACACAUUAAAAAAGUUAUGUGACUCCUUAUUGUGCAUUCCAAACCCAAAGCAUCAGUCCUUGAGAGCGAUAUUUUUUGAGCAGUUUAUAGGUGCAAAAUUCUGAUUUUUUACGUGAGACAACACAUAACCUGACAUAUAAAAUAAAUUUUCAUUUUGUAACAAAUGAUUCCUUUUAUACGUCAGGUUACGUGCUAUUGCAGGUAACUAAUCUGCGCUUUGCGCCUCCAUACUGCUAUAAAAAAUCCCUGUCAAGGGUUGGCGUUUUGGUUUGGAUACACAUUAGAGACUCGUAACUUUUUUUAAAACUAUUAUUUACGUUUCAUUAGGUUAUAAUAUUCAAAUAAAAAAUAUAUACAUUCUUAUAUAUAUGGAAAACCACAGGAUCUGCUAUGCAAUUAGAGGGGAAAAUGGUAACAGCUGCUUCACUGCAUAAGCUAUCUAGCGUGACCUGCAAAAUGUGAUUUCUUGAAAACCAGUAGGAAUUAAGAAAAGCUGUUUACAGUUUUAAUAGAUGAAGGUUUUUAGUGUCUGAAGCGGUAUUUUCAAAAUUUUAUAAUUUAAUUUAUGGAUAAGCAGCAACAAAAGAAAAUUACUUUUUUUAAAUUUAGCUAACCAACCAUUCACAUGAUUUUACAAAUUUUGUAUUGAUUAUACUUACCUACUUUAACAUUAAACUACUGUUAAACAAUUUAUUUCAAUUUUUUAAAAAUAUAUUUGGGAAUUAGCGCAGUAUAAUCGAAGACGUUUACUGUAUUGAUGAUUGAUUUACUUUAUUGAUGCACAUUGAAGUUGUAUAAUUGUUGGAUUGGUUAAGCAAAUUCAAGCAUCAAGGGUACUGAUCAAUGGUUUUUAACAUUAUAUUUUCUUAAUGAAUCCAUUGGUAAAACGUUAAAACACUGGAAUGGCUAAAUUUCCAUCGACUGCUUAUGUUUUUUUCCGCAUGCUCACUUGAAAACAAUUACAGGGUUAUACUGUAGUUCACAGUUGCAAUACUUGGUUAGGUUAGUUACAUAAGUGCUGUUAAAUCAUGAAAAUGGUUAGGGAAAGGUAACUUCUUCAUAACUACUGUAAAAUGGUGUAAGCAAUUAUUCUUUAGGUAAGUUUACCUAGACUUUAAAAAUAAUUUAUUUGGCGAAGUACAUAGUACUAAGAAUUACUAUUUAUCAAAUUUGGUUUGUGUGGAAAAGUUGUUACUCUAGGAAAUUUCUGAAUCCAUCUUUGUAGGAAUAUAAACUAAUAUUAUUAGAAACAAAAAAAGAACAAUGUGUGGUAUAUUUUAAUUUUCUAACACGCUCUGAACUCUGCAGUUAUGCGAUUACCGAUAAUAUUGUAAAUCAUUGCAAUAUACAUCCGACACAUUUUGUAGUGAUUUCACUACUGUACUAUGAAGUAAUGCCAUCGACUGCUGCAAAAUAACAUGCUGACAUCUAUUCUUGUGUAGGCAUUUUGUUGAUACGACUAAAAUAUGAACAUAUAGGAUAUAUAUAGAAUCUUACAAAUUUUGGUAACCUACCUACUAAUACUCUCCCCGAAGACUUUGGUUAGAUACUUAAAAAAAAAAAAAAAAAAAAAAAUUAACUGCUUAUGUGACAUGCAUUACGUGAAAUUAAUUCAACUUGUAAACAUUUUGCUUGAGUCAAAGCCUAGAUUUGCUUAAGCUAAUAACAAGCAAUUACAUCACUUGAGGCCCUGAGAAUCAAACUUCUAAAAUUGUGUAGUUACUUGGAUUGUUAAAUACCUAGUUUUUCUGCAAUAAUGGGCACAAGAGCAAUAGAAUUAUGUUUUUCAUAUAAUUUUUUUUCACAUAAAUGAGUUUUUGUCAAAAAGUAUUUGGAAAAAAUAUAUAUUUGAAAGGACAAAGAAAAAUGUUAAUUGUAGUACAUAAAUGAGAAUUUACCAAAAUAUUUAAUGUAUCAAAUUUCUAACUAAAAUGGUUUUGAAAUUAAUUUAUCAUUCUGGUAUGCAUAACUUUUUUCUUUGAUACAUUUAUUUAUCAGUUUCAUUUCUCUUUAGUACAAUAUAAAUCAUUUAACUUUGAUUUCUUUUUUGUUUCAGGCUUGUGGAGAACAGCUUUUUUUUAAUCUACUCUUUGGCUGGCGAAUGUAAAUAAGCAAUGAUUUCGUGAAUGCAGCGAGAGAGUUUAUUUAAUGUAUUUUAAAAUCACUGAUAAUAUUUAUUGAUGUAUUUUAAAAUCACUGAUAAUAUUUAUUGAUGUAUUUUAAAAUCACUGAUAAUAUUUGUUUUGUGGCUGGAAGAUGGUAACCAUGGUGACUUGUGAAUUUUUAUGAAGAUUAAUAAAAAGCAGUAAAAAUUA
Bacillus rossius redtenbacheri is the source of this 3259-nucleotide long non-coding RNA. RefSeq lists it as uncharacterized. The record is from RefSeq and is a predicted model, not a curated record. Lineage: Eukaryota; Metazoa; Arthropoda; Insecta; Phasmatodea; Bacillidae. The transcript is spliced from 2 exons.